GGGCGAAUGGCGGAACUGGCAGACGCGCUAGACUUAGGAUCUAGUCCUUAACAGGGUGGGGGUUCAACUCCCCCUUCGCCCA
This 82-nucleotide transfer RNA is filed under the name Bacteroidota bacterium. Its description in RNAcentral is "Bacteroidetes bacterium (groundwater metagenome) tRNA-Leu". It matches the Rfam family "tRNA". Rfam says of the family: Transfer RNA (tRNA) molecules are approximately 80 nucleotides in length. Their secondary structure includes four short double-helical elements and three loops (D, anti-codon, and T loops). Lineage: Bacteria; Pseudomonadati; Bacteroidota. The record is from RNAcentral.